Molecule: ribosomal RNA, 305 nt
Filed under: uncultured bacterium
Lineage: Bacteria
Description: bacterial SSU rRNA
Rfam family: Bacterial small subunit ribosomal RNA
Source: RNAcentral
GUCCUACGGGGGGCAGCAGUAGGGAAUCUUUCACAAUGGGCGAAAGCCUGAUGGAGCAACGCCGCGUGCAGGAUGAAGGCCUUCGGGUUGUAAACUGCUUUUAUAAGCGAGAAAUAUGAUGGUAACUUAUGAAAAAGCAUCGGCUAACUCCGUGCCAGCAGCCGCGGUAAUACGGAGGAUGCGAGCGUUAUCCGGAUUUAUUGGGUUUAAAGGGUGCGCAGGCGGCGAGUUAAGUCAGCGGUAAAAUUUCGGGGCUCAACCCCGACGAGCCGUUGAAACUGGCUUGCUAGAGUGGGCGAGAAGUA